CCUACGGGUGGCAGCAGUGGGGGAUAUUGCACAAUGGGGGAAACCCUGAUGCAGCGACGCCGCGUGUGGGAAGACGGUCCUCUGGAUUGUAAACCACUGUCCCCAGGGACGAAGAUGACGGUACCUGGGGAGGAAGCUCCGGCUAACUACGUGCCAGCAGCCGCGGUAAUACGUAGGGAGCGAGCGUUGUCCGGAAUUACUGGGUGUAAAGGGAGCGUAGGCGGGACUGCAAGUUGGGUGUAAAAUCGACCGGCUCAACCGGUAGCCGCACUCAAAACUGCAGUUCUUGAGUGAAGUAGAGGCAGGCGGAAUUCCUAGUGUAGCGGUGAAAUGCGUAGAUAUUAGGAGGAACACCAGUGGCGAAGGCGGCCUGCUGGGCUUUUACUGACGCUGAGGCUCGAAAGUGUGGGGAGCAAACAGGAUUAGAUACCCGGGUAGUC
This 440-nucleotide ribosomal RNA is filed under the name uncultured bacterium. RNAcentral's name for it is "partial 16S ribosomal RNA". It matches the Rfam family "Bacterial small subunit ribosomal RNA", at positions 338 to 795 of the family's 1533-position model. The record is from RNAcentral.